This 250-nucleotide ribosomal RNA is filed under the name uncultured bacterium. RNAcentral's name for it is "partial 16S ribosomal RNA". It matches the Rfam family "Bacterial small subunit ribosomal RNA", at positions 524 to 776 of the family's 1533-position model. The record is from RNAcentral.
UACGUAGGGGCGAGCGUUGUCCGGAUUUAUUGGGCGUAAAGAGCGUGUAGGCGGCCAGGUAGGUCUGCUGUGAAAACUCGAGGCUCAACCUCGAGACGUCGGCGGAAACCAUCUGGCUAGAGUCCGGAAGAGGAAAGUGGAAUUCCUGGUGUAGCGGUGAAAUGCGCAGAUAUCAGGAAGAACACCAAUGGCGAAAGCAGCUUCUGGACGGUACUGACGCUGAGACGCGAAAGCGUGGGGAGCGAACAGG